UGUGUGUUUGUGUGUGUGUGUCCCUCAACAUAGGGAGCAAAAAGCCUGACUUAGCAAAACUGCCACAACUGUCACAAUUUCUCCAAGAAAAAACACACAGCCCACAGCAGAAUUACUGGAGAGACAAACACUCACACACACACACACACAUAGCAUCAGCAUAGGAAUAAUCCCCUCAGACAGGUUGAUGAUUCAGGGAGAAACAUAUCACUGUGUGCGUGUUUACAUCGAUAACAUUGUUAUAUGUGCAUUGUUUUGCUGUCAAGCGCACUUCUCCCUCACCGCGCAACCAUAGAGGUGCCAGUCUGUUUGACAUGUAUGCUGUGUUGCGACAGGGAGCUGACAGUUAUUGACAGUGAACAACAACUUCUGGAGUCAGAUGGAAGGAAGCCAGUGGGUGACAGGAAGCAGGCCUGAGAAGUCUGCAGUCUUCUUAGGAGUCUUAGGAGUCGCAAACCUGGUGGGGGGUCCUCUGUCAGCUAAAGAGUCUACAUGUAUACUGCCUGGGUCUAAUUGCACUCUGGUCACUUUUGGUUCUCAUUUAAAGGUACACAACAAUACUUUAGGUAUAUUUGGCGACUGUAGAGCUCCCUCUAGAAUCGCGAUAUAUUUAUAUUUUACUCUGCUGUUGCAAACUUGGCGGUUGCAAAAUGGCAAACUUCUCGUGACUUAUCCCCCUGUACACAAUGAAAAUGCUUUUGCUGUGGAGGUGAAGGAUUAACAACAGGCAAAACAGUCUCCAAAGAGCUACAUCUACUGACAAAGUAAUGUUUUACGAUUCUCCCGAGAUUUGUCAGGCCGCCAUUCUUGAAGUUGCAUGGCUGGUUUUCUCGGUAACCAAUCGCCA
Molecule: long non-coding RNA, 847 nt
Organism: Alosa sapidissima (American shad)
Lineage: Eukaryota; Metazoa; Chordata; Actinopteri; Clupeiformes; Clupeidae
Exons: 3
Source: RefSeq, a predicted model, not a curated record